CUUGGUCAUUUAGAGGAAGUAAAAGUCGUAACAAGGUUUCCGUAGGUGAACCUGCGGAAGGAUCAUUACCUAGAGUUGUAGGCUUUGCCUGCUAUCUCUUACCCAUGUCUUUUAAGUACCUUACGUUUCCUCGGCGGGUCCGCCCGCCGAUUGGACAAUUUAAACCAUUUGCAGUUGCAAUCAGCGUCUGAAAAAACUUAAUAGUUACAACUUUCAACAACGGAUCUCUUGGUUCUGGCAUCGAUGAAGAACGCAGCGAAAUGCGAUAAGUAGUGUGAAUUGCAGAAUUCAGUGAAUCAUCGAAUCUUUGAACGCACAUUGCGCCCCUUGGUAUUCCAUGGGGCAUGCCUGUUCGAGCGUCAUUUGUACCUUCAAGCUCUGCUUGGUGUUGGGUGUUUGUCUCGCCUCUGCGUGUAGACUCGCCUCAAAACAAUUGGCAGCCGGCGUAUUGAUUUCGGAGCGCAGUACAUCUCGCGCUUUGCACUCAUAACGACGACGUCCAAAAGUACAUUUUUACACUCUUGACCUCGGAUCAGGUAGGGAUACCCGCUGAACUUAAGCAUAUCAAUAAGCGGAGGA
RNAcentral lists this ribosomal RNA (579 nucleotides) under uncultured fungus. RNAcentral's name for it is "eukaryotic LSU rRNA". The stretch from base 209 to 362 matches the Rfam family "5.8S ribosomal RNA". Lineage: Eukaryota; Fungi. The record is from RNAcentral.